CUGCUGCCUCCCGUAGGAGUCUGGGCCGUAUCUCAGUCCCAAUGUGGCCGGCCAACCUCUCAGUCCGGCUACUGAUCGUCGCCUUGGUGGGCCGUUACCCCACCAACUAGCUAAUCAGACGCGAGGCCAUCUUUCGGCGAUAAAUCUUUGACAUUCAGACCAUGCGGCCCAAAUGUAUCAUGCGGUAUUAGCAGUCGUUUCCAACUGUUGUCCCCCUCCGAAAGGCAGGUUCCUCACGCGUUACUCACCACG
RNAcentral lists this ribosomal RNA (252 nucleotides) under uncultured bacterium. RNAcentral's name for it is "partial 16S ribosomal RNA". The record is from RNAcentral.